GCACCCGUAGCUCAGCUGGAUAGAGCACCUGCCCUCCGAAGGCAGAGGCCACAGGUUCGAAUCCUGUCGGGUGCGCCA
Molecule: transfer RNA, 78 nt
Filed under: Brucella abortus
Lineage: Bacteria; Pseudomonadati; Pseudomonadota; Alphaproteobacteria; Hyphomicrobiales; Brucellaceae
Description: tRNA-Arg
Rfam family: tRNA
About the family: Transfer RNA (tRNA) molecules are approximately 80 nucleotides in length. Their secondary structure includes four short double-helical elements and three loops (D, anti-codon, and T loops).
Source: RNAcentral